UUGAAUGAGAACUCUGUGAAGGCAGGAAUGUUGUCUAUUUUGUUCCCUACAAUGUUUCCAGCAUCUGAAACACUUGUUGGUACCUCGACACAGCCAUCAUGCUUUGAGGAAGCCCAAGAGUCUGUGGAGAGGCCUAUAGCCAGCAACAACUUAUCAGCCAUGUGUCCUAAAGAGAAUCUUCCAUUGCCCUCUGGAGAGUGUCUCAGAAGCCGAGUAGCAGCUACAGCUCUCAUUCAAAAUGAGAAGUCACUGAAAUAAAGUUUCUAUGCCAAC
Molecule: long non-coding RNA, 273 nt
Organism: Canis lupus familiaris (dog)
Lineage: Eukaryota; Metazoa; Chordata; Mammalia; Carnivora; Canidae
Exons: 3
Source: RefSeq, a predicted model, not a curated record